GGGAAGGUACCAAAGUGGUCAAAUGGAGCGGUCUGUAAAACCGUUGGCUUUAGCCUUCGUGGGUUCGAACCCCACCCUUCCCACCA
Molecule: transfer RNA, 86 nt
Filed under: Patescibacteria group bacterium
Lineage: Bacteria
Description: tRNA-Tyr
Rfam family: tRNA
About the family: Transfer RNA (tRNA) molecules are approximately 80 nucleotides in length.
Source: RNAcentral